UCCGGUGGCGAUGCCGGAGGGGAAACACCCGUUCCCAUACCGAACACGGAAGUUAAGCCCUCCAGGGCCGAUGAUACUAUGAUUGAUAAGGUCAUGGGAAAGUAGGUCGCUGCCGGAU
This is a non-coding RNA of Nitrospirae bacterium RBG_13_41_22, 118 nucleotides long. The record is from Rfam. Lineage: Bacteria; Pseudomonadati; Nitrospirota.